Ipomoea nil (Japanese morning glory) is the source of this 445-nucleotide long non-coding RNA. RefSeq lists it as uncharacterized. The transcript has 4 exons. NCBI's taxonomy places the organism in Eukaryota, Viridiplantae, Streptophyta, Magnoliopsida, Solanales, Convolvulaceae. The record is from RefSeq and is a predicted model, not a curated record.
GUAUUUGCUGAAAAUAAAGCUCAACAAAAGAGGAAAAGUGAAAGGUAAAGUGGACUCAUUGAAAGAUGAAGCCAUAACUGCAGUGUAAAGAAAGAAAUUACCCACCUUCUGACAGGCCUUUUCUCAAGUUCACUCUUAGUGUAAGAAGUUAGAUCCGCUAUCAACCAUCACAUUAGCAACCACCACGUAACAGGACUGGGCUAGACACCUAACCACAAGAGUAUCCGUAGCUCGAGGAUAUUCACAUCAAGCAUUGUUUGGAAUAAGGGAAGGUUGAGAAGGAUGGGAGUAAGCAGGUAAAUUUUUCGAUUUCUUAUCGCCCUUUCUAAGUUUUUAUUUUUUCUGUGUUUGUUUUGUUUUGGACUGGGAAUAAGGGGUAGUGGAAUAGGUGACUUAAAGAGGUGUUUUCUUCAAUCCAAUUGAUUGUGUAUUUGUAUAUGAUGUU